RNAcentral lists this unclassified non-coding RNA (279 nucleotides) under plant metagenome. RNAcentral describes it as "partial contains small subunit ribosomal RNA, internal transcribed spacer 1, and 5.8S ribosomal RNA". The record is from RNAcentral.
UUUCCGUAGGUGAACCUGCGGAAGGAUCAUUAUCGUACAAAAUGUGAGGGGCAUGCUAGGGCUGUCGCAGUUGUAGAAGUCGUGCACGCGCGAGUGUGUGGUCUUGCAUAAUAAUCCAUCUCACCCUUUGUGCACCACCGCGUGGUCACCCUUCGGUGUCAUCACCCAGAGGUGCUCGCGAUCUCACAAAAACCGCCCUUUUAAAAGUGUAAAAUGUCCACAUUUAUGCAAUCAAUACAACUUUCAACAACGGAUCCCUUGGCCCUGGCAGCGAUGAAA